UGGGGAAUAUUGCGCAAUGGGGGCAACCCUGACGCAGCCAUGCCGCGUGAAUGAAGAAGGCCUUCGGGUUGUAAAGUUCUUUCGGUAGCGAGGAAGGCAUUUAGUUUAAUAAACUAGAUGAUUGACGUUAACUACAGAAGAAGCACCGGCUAACUCCGUGCCAGCAGCCGCGGUAAUACGGAGGGUGCGAGCGUUAAUCGGAAUAACUGGGCGUAAAGGGCACGCAGGCGGUGACUUAAGUGAGGUGUGAAAGCCCCGGGCUUAACCUGGGAAUUGCAUUUCAUACUGGGUCGCUAGAGUACUUUAGGGAGGGGUAGAAUUCCACGUGUAGCGGUGAAAUGCGUAGAGAUGUGGAGGAAUACCGAAGGCGAAGGCAGCCCCUUGGGAAUGUACUGACGCUCAUGUGCGAAAGCGUGGGGAGCAAACAGGAUUAGAUACCCUGGUAGUCCACGCUGUAAACGAUGUCGAUUUGGGGGUUGAGCUUUGAGCUUGGCGCCCGUAGCUAACGUGAUAAAUCGACCGCCUGGGGAGUACGGCCGCAAGGUUA
This 547-nucleotide ribosomal RNA is filed under the name uncultured bacterium. RNAcentral's name for it is "bacterial SSU rRNA". It matches the Rfam family "Bacterial small subunit ribosomal RNA", at positions 355 to 896 of the family's 1533-position model. The record is from RNAcentral.